UACGGAGGGGCUAGCGUUGUUCGGAAUUACUGGGCGUAAAGCGCGCGUAGGCGGACCUGCAAGUCGGGGUGAAAGCCCGAGGCUCAACCCGGAACGGCACCCGAGACUCCGGGCUCGAGACCGGGAGAGGAGGGUGGAAUACCCAGUGUAGAGGUGAAAUUCGUAGAUAUUGGGUGGAACACCGGUGGCGAAAGCGGCUCUCGUGGCCGAUCUGACGCUGAGGCGCGAAAGCGUGGGGAGCAAACAGG
Molecule: ribosomal RNA, 248 nt
Filed under: uncultured bacterium
Lineage: Bacteria
Description: partial 16S ribosomal RNA
Rfam family: Bacterial small subunit ribosomal RNA
Source: RNAcentral